UGAGGAAUUUUGCGCAAUGGGAGAAAUCCUGACGCAGCAACGCCGCGUGGGUGAUGAAGGCCUUCGGGUCGUAAAGCCCUGUCGGGUGGGAAGAAGAGGCAGGGGGCAAAGAGCCCCAUUGGCCGUGACGGUACCACCAGAGGAAGCACCGGCUAACUCCGUGCCAGCAGCCGCGGUAAUACGGAGGGUGCGAGCGUUACUCGGAAUUACUGGGCGUAAAGCGCGUGCAGGCGGGCGGGCCAGUCCGAUGUGAAAGCCCCGGGCUUAACCCGGGAAGUGCAUUGGAAACUGCUCGUCUUGAGUGUCGGAGAGGAAGGGUGAAUUCCCGGUGUAGAGGUGAAAUUCGUAGAGAUCGGGAGGAACACCAGUGGCGAAGGCGCCCUUCUGGACGAAUACUGACGCUGAGACGCGAAAGCGUGGGGAGCAAACAGGAUUAGAUACCCUGGUAGUCCACGCCGUAAACGAUGAGAACUAGGUGUAGCGGGUACUCAUUCCUGCUGUGCCGCA
This 507-nucleotide ribosomal RNA is filed under the name uncultured Pseudomonadota bacterium. RNAcentral describes it as "bacterial SSU rRNA". It matches the Rfam family "Bacterial small subunit ribosomal RNA", at positions 355 to 850 of the family's 1533-position model. Lineage: Bacteria; Pseudomonadati; Pseudomonadota. The record is from RNAcentral.